UUGAGAUUUUUUCAGACGCAGAUAUGCAUGUUCUUUUUUUGCCAACAGGCUGUGUAAAGUUCUAUUGUGGUAACAGUCUUUAAGAAACAAAUUAUACUUUGAGAAGAAGCCAAUGAUCAUGGAUAAUAUAAAGCUGGGGAGAAAAAGAAGAAAGGAAAAAAAUGAAGUUGCAGCCUCCUCCUAACUAGAGCUCACUCUCAACAGGGAAGAAAGUCAAGUCCAGGAAAAGCCAGCGAUUGGUUACUGAUUGACCCUGCCCUUGGAUCAAUGGGCAAUUACCUUCCAUCCUGCUGACUUUAAGUAUGGUUGUAAUGAUGUGACUGCUUGAAACAGGGAGGGUCAGGGUAUACCUUAACCUCCUCCCGGCAUGGAACAACACGUGCGGGGGUCACUGCGCUGGCGUGAAUAAGACGGAGGUCCAAAGAUGGAGUCAGCGUUCUCGGCUUGAAGCUGCGCAUGAUCAGAGUGAGCGGCCUAUCGUCGUGGAGCUUGGCUACCUGGUACAGCAGAUUUUCAGUAUAGAUAAAUGAGCUGGAGGAGGAACAAAACGCCCAAUACGACAUUUUCCA
This is a long non-coding RNA of Ailuropoda melanoleuca (giant panda), 569 nucleotides long. RefSeq lists it as uncharacterized. The transcript has 3 exons. Lineage: Eukaryota; Metazoa; Chordata; Mammalia; Carnivora; Ursidae. The record is from RefSeq and is a predicted model, not a curated record.